Populus euphratica (Euphrates poplar) is the source of this 920-nucleotide long non-coding RNA. RefSeq lists it as uncharacterized. The record is from RefSeq and is a predicted model, not a curated record. Lineage: Eukaryota; Viridiplantae; Streptophyta; Magnoliopsida; Malpighiales; Salicaceae. The transcript has 4 exons.
AAAAGGUAAGAACGUGCUUCAAAUGAAAAAAGAAAAAGUGCGCCUCCUACCCUUCACAAAAACCCUAAAUAAGUAGAGGGAGCACAAGGUGAUAGUCACAAGUGAGUGAGAGAGAGAGAGAGAGAGAGAUGGAAGAGGGAGACGACUACAAGUUUCUGUAAAUAAAGAGGGCCGUUUCUUCUAUUAACUAGCAAAAGGCAAUCUAAUCGGCGUCGUUCACGUGUUCGGGCCGGACUUACGGCUGCUACCAGAAAACUAAUUAAUUUUUCGUGGUUGGUAGUAGAUUGAUGAACUUCUUUUAUAAAGUGAAAAUAGUUGAUGAAUCGUAUCCGAAACCUGGAAUUCGGCUGAAUAUUUUCUUGGAAAGUGUGGGAAAUCUGCCUAUUGUUGGGUCACCUGGAGAUAUAAUUAAGCUUUCUCCUGCCGUGAUUAAAACUCACAAUGAUGGUGUCUAUUCUCUUUUUAAUAAAAAGUUCACUUCUUUUCUUUAUAUGAAGAUAAAAAUGGUGAUGACUUAGUAACUUAUCAAUAUUCUUCAGUAUUUCGCCCAAGGGACUACAACUUGAAGUUUAUAGCAGGCCUGAGAAAGCUUAUACCAGGCUUCUGGAUUAAGCAGUUCAACAGCUAAACAGCUACUGGUUUAUAUGCUGGCAUUGUUUAAUGCAUUGUGCAUGUAUUCUCAUCAAUGUAGAUUAGGAUUCCCUAGGAUUCUAACACUGUACUGAGCUGUAUGUACAUGUAAAUGGCUAGGUAUAUUUACUAUCAUUGCGUAACUUGACUAGGGUUUGUAGUGCUGGGUGGAGCUCCUCCGACUCUGAGCCAGUAAAAUGUUUUGUUUUUUGGCAUAAACUACUCACCAAAAUCAGCACCUACCUUCAUCCUCAUGAAAAUGUUGCAUUUUUUAUCAUUUAUUUUUCUUC